GUUUUUUUUUUUUUUUUUUUUUUUUUUUUUUGGUGCUGGGAAUCAAACUCACGACCUUGUGCUUGCCAGGUGAAGGAUCGACUGGCGACGACUGGCCAGAAGACUGUGGUGUCGUUCCAAAAUCAGAUGAAUAGUAACAGGAAUGACGUUUGCCUGUUUUACUUUCUUGAUCGCUAUCUGAACUUCUUGCUCUUUCCCCCAUUAUUUUGAAAAAUUAUCUCUAUUCACAUAAUUUCACACAUUCAUGACAAUACUGAAGAGCAUUUUCCUAGUCUUCAUAUAUUGGUGAUAAUAUUUAUUUCUGCACAAUUUAUUUCUCCACAAAAGAUCUGUAGUCCACAAUUCAUAUCAACCAAUGGAAGAUCCACUUUAUUUUCUAUAAUUAAGGAAAGCAGGAGGGAGGACUUAUCAUAUAAUCAUGAAACAAAAUUCUACAAUGAGCUAUAAUUAAAAAUACCAAAAGCUAAAUAAUGAACAACUUAAAUUUUUAAGAAUAGGCUAUAAUUUAUCUAUAUUUUUAUACAUAAAUUAAUACAAUUUAGGAGAAAAGACAGUUUCUAUCAUGACCUCUUAAGAGGAUAACAUGGGAAGUACCUGACAUAUAACUACUUCUGAAUGUUAACUAAUCUUGAAUCGUAAGAGUUACAAUACACGCAAAUGCCAAAUUUUAACAGGAUAAUAACAAUCAAGUUGCUAGAUUUUUUUAUGGUGGGAAAAGGUAAAAGUAAUGGUGGUGAUAGGGAAUAAUGUUCUGGUAAGAACAAAGGAAAAAAAUACCUCGGAUUGACUACAAAAAUGUAAAACUAAAGAAUUCUAAAAAUGAAAGGAAAACAUUUGCAAAUGUCUGCAAAUAAAGACAUUUGCAGACAUGAGAGAAUACUGAUGAUCAUCCUGAACAAGUAUGUCACACCAUCCCACAAGAAAAACAUGAAAUGAAAACUUAAAUACCUGAUAAGACCUCAAAAAGGCAAUGUAAAUGACAGACUCAUAUAAAUAUUAAACCUCAGGUACAUUUUAACACUAUCAUGGUAUCAGCAAGAAAGCUAUCAGAUGCACUGAUGGAGUGUCAAAGGGUUCAGGUGCCAAGUGAAGGAGAUCCUGCUAGUCAAGGACAGACAAUCCCAUCUACAUCAGCAAAAGAUAACAUGUAUCCAACAUAUUUAAAUCUACAAAUGCACGUUUUUUGUUUUUUGUCUUUUUUUUAAAGCAACUAGUGCUCUUUGUAGAUGCUAGGGAACCAACUCAAUAAUUUGAAACUGAACAUAAAGAGGAAACAUCAGGUAUGUAUUACCUGAUUAGGUAUGUAAUACCUAUAGCAGUAUUAACCAUACUGCUAUAAGCUCUAUCAACAAAAUUGAGAUGAAAGUAUAUAUUUCUUUAUAAAAUUACUUUAGGUGAUAAAUGAAAUAUUAAAAUGAAAGAAUUUGAAUAUUGAAAACAUUAAUGAAAUCAUGAAGCUACAUAAUGAUCACUAAUGGCUGUAACACCACAAAAAAGAACCAGGUAUUAUUGUGCCUCCUGAUAGGACACAAUAUCUCUGAAGUAAUAUGCCCUCCUCCCCAAAAAUAAAUCUAAAUCUGAUCAAGCCUCUAAAUAUAAACGUCAAUUUAAAGAAUAUAUGAAGGGCAGAGAUACAAUAUAAGAAAGUUAUCAGCAAAAUGCAGACUGAGGCAAGGCAAAUGCUAUAAGAAAAACACUGCUUUAAAAAAUAAAUCCUAAGUAGAACAAAAGAGAAACAGGAUGCCUAUAAUAUUAAGAAGUCUUAACAAAAAAAAAUUGCAGCCUAUGAACCUUAUUUGAUUCUGAUUCAAACAAAUUACAUUAAAAAUCGAGAUAGUCAAGAAAAUUUAAGCAGUGACUGGAUACUUUAUAUUAAGGAAUUACCACUGCUUUUGGCAAGGCAAUAAUAUGUGGUUUAUUUUCUGUUAAAAGUGUUUGUCCAUUAAGCAUAUUUACUCAUAUACAGAUAAAAUUAAACAAUGCCUGAACUUUGUUUUUUUCUAAGUAAACCAAGAUAACUCAGGUAGAAGGAAGGACAGAUGAAAGAAGAAAGGCUAUGAGUUGACAACAUUGUAAACUGGGUAAUGACUAAAGGCUUCAUUACUCUGAUAUGUCUCAUAUUGAUUUGAUAUUUUUCUGAGUAAAAAAGACAUUUCUUAGCUGCACAUGACGGCAUACACCUGCAGUCCCACACUCUGGGAGGCUAAAGCAGGAAGCUCAUAAAUUCAAACCCAGCCUGAGCAACUUAAUGUAUUAGUUAAGAUUCUCAAAAAAUUUAAAUACACACACACACACACACACACACACACACAAACAUUUGGCUGGGGAUACAACAAAGCACUGGGUUUGAUCUCCCCUGCCAAAGAAAAAAACUAUAAUGGCAAACAAAACAAAACAAAACAAAAAAACCCCCCAAACUUGCACAUGCUGUACACUUCUACUACUGAGCUACAUCACCAGCUGAAACUCAGAACUCUGAUCUUGACUUCUGACGUAGUAAUGUCUAGCAAUCUGACUAUUAAAAUUUGCUAAUGGAUCUGAAGUCAGCAAUUUUAAUGGCCAGUGGAAUAUUUUAACUACUAUACUAAUAUUUUAAAAGUAAAUAUAAAUCAGCCUGAAUCUUCCACUAUAAUCACAAAAGAUAAUACUUACAAAUGAAAAAAUGUAGAGACUAAAGGACAAUAGAAAGAGCAAGUAAGUCUUGCUCCACCACACAUUAACUGUGGAAAUCUGAAGUUUACUCAACCUUGCAAUCUGAAUCUCUAUCUCACUGUUUUUAUAUCUGUAAACAGAACUGUCAAUAUCCUAGGGAACUAUCAACUACCUUAGGGAAUUAUUGUGAGGAUUAAAUGGGACAACUUGAUAACUAUCACACAAUUAAGUUAAAAGGUGGUUACACGGUAAAGAUGAAGAUUCCUUCUGGUUACAUCUGCAUGAGAGAAGUAACUUCCUGGGACCCAUGGCGUCUAGUCAGAGAUGUCAAUCUACUGAUGAUGGCGAAGGGAAAGAAGCCAAACAGCACUGUCUCUCCUCCUCCCAAAUGUAUCUACAAACAAAAUUACCUACCGUGCUAUCCACCACCAGGUCCUCCUCUGUAAGAGAAGCAUUUUAGUGGCAUGUACCUUUAGGGUCACAGUAAUUCCCCUUUGUCUAUAAUGUUUGUUUUGCAUGGUUUCAGUUAUCUACGGUCAACUAGACCUGAAAAUACUAAAUGAAAGAUUCCAAAAAUAAACAAUUGAUAAGUUCUAAA
Cavia porcellus (domestic guinea pig) is the source of this 3250-nucleotide long non-coding RNA. RefSeq lists it as uncharacterized. The transcript is spliced from 2 exons. The record is from RefSeq and is a predicted model, not a curated record. Lineage: Eukaryota; Metazoa; Chordata; Mammalia; Rodentia; Caviidae.